Non-coding RNA from Nelumbo nucifera (sacred lotus), 503 nucleotides. The record is from RefSeq and is a predicted model, not a curated record. Lineage: Eukaryota; Viridiplantae; Streptophyta; Magnoliopsida; Proteales; Nelumbonaceae.
CGAGGAUUGUAAAGGUGAAGGAGCAGGUGGUUGCUGGUACUUUGCACCAUCUGACUCUGGAGGUGAUUGAGGCAUGUAAGAAGAAAAUUUAUGAAGCCAAGGUGUGGGUGAAGCCAUGGUUGAACUUCAAGGAGCUGCAGGAAUUCAAGCCAGUUGGAGAUGCCCCCACGUUCACUUCGUCAGAUCUCGGUGCCAGGCAAGGAUGGAGAGCAAUUCCAACACAUGAUCCUAUUGUCCAAGAUGAAGCAAAUCAUGCUGUGAAGACUAUCCAGCAGAGGUCAAACUUGCUAGUCCCUUACAAACUGCUAGAGGUCCUUCAUGCAAAGACAGAGGUAAUUGAAGAAGUGGCAAAGAUUGAUUUGCUUCUCAAAGUCAAGAGGAGAAAUAAGGAAGAAAAUUUUAAGGUUAAAGUACAUAAGAAUGUUGAAGGUAUCUUUCAUUUGAAUUUGAUGGAGCAAGAUCACUCAUGAGCCAUGACUCUAGGCACUACCCUAACAUGUUAA